This 144-nucleotide small RNA is filed under the name Flavobacterium sp. 81. Its description in RNAcentral is "Flavo-1 RNA". The record is from RNAcentral. RNAcentral also lists the same sequence under 1 other name. Lineage: Bacteria; Pseudomonadati; Bacteroidota; Flavobacteriia; Flavobacteriales; Flavobacteriaceae.
CCCUAGCCCGGAUUAUAGUGGAAAGCCCGGAAUAAAAAAUGCAAAAGUUUCUUGUUUUGAAAAAGCGACCAACGGAAGCUCUUUUUAAAACAUCAGAAACUUUGCGUUUUUUAUGAGGACUUGUAGCGAAAAGCCGGAAAUAGC